GUGCGGCUGGAUCACCUCCUUUCUAAGAGAAAGAUAAACUAAGGCUAAUUCCAUUAACUCUUCCCUACUCUUUUCUUUUGAUAAAGGGUUUUUUAAAGCCAAUGUUGUUUUUAAAGUUUAAUAGAAAUUUAUGUAUUUAACUUUUUGUUAAUGGUGUUAAAGCGUUCUAUUAAGUUUAGAUCAUUUUGGGGGUUUAGCUCAGUUGGCUAGAGCAUCGGCUUUGCAAGCCGAGGGUCAAGGGUUCGAGUCCCUUAACCUCCAUUUGGCAUGUGCCUUGAAUUGUGAUUAAGCAUGUUUUCAAUAACUUUGUUAAAUUAAUUAUUUGAAGGUGAAACAGAAUAAGUUAGAAUUUAUAGGUUAAAGGUGGAAUUUUUUAAUACUAAGAAGAAUGUCUAGGAGCAAAAGCAAAUCUUUUAUAAAAACUUAAGUUGUGUCACUAAAUCAUAAGGAUUAAACAAGAUUAGAUUUUUCAGUAAUCUAUUAUUUUAUAAGCGAUCCAAAUUAAUUCCUAGUUAAAAUCUAGUAAUUAAUAUAGAUCGUUUAGUGUGGUAUCUGGGGGGGGUAAUCCUUGUUAUUGUUGCCACCAUGUAAUGACAGAGAUUUGCAUAAGACUUUCGGUUAUAAGCAGGCGGGUAAGAGCCGUGACCGAAUCGUUUCUUUUAUGCUCUAGGGUUAUGCGCAUGCUAUAAUGGCCUGUAUAAAGCGAAGAGAAGCAGCGAUGUGAAGCAAAAGCUUAAAGCAAGCCAUAGUAUGAAUUGCAUUUUGAAAUUCGACUUCAUGAAGUUGGAAUUGCUAGUAAUCGUAUAUCAGAAUGAUACGGUGAGUACGUUUUAAGGCCUGUACACACUGCCUGUUACAUAGUCCGAGUAUGGGGAUGACCAAAGUAUUAUCCUAACCGGUAAGGGAGGGGAUUUGGCAUAUGUUUAGGAAGGGGGCCGGGUCUUAACAAGACGACUGCACUUUUCAGUAUGAUCAGAUUAGCUUCUUUAUAGGAGAAAGGUAAAUUAAGGCUAAUUUUAUUGACUAUUCUUUGUUAUUUUAUUUUUGUGAAAAGGUUUUUGAAUCCGGAGUAAAUUUUUAGUUUAAAAUUUAGAAAAAAUAAACCCUUAGUAAAUGUUUGGUAGUAUUCAGCUUAAUAUUUAAUUAGGCUUUGUUUAAUAGUAAGUACAAUUUUAGAUUUUAGGGCAAAGAGUUUUUAUAUUAUUGAUUAUAGUUUAAAGCGAUACUGCUAUAAUUAAAACGAUGGAAUACAUGGAC
This 1257-nucleotide unclassified non-coding RNA is filed under the name Borreliella bissettiae. RNAcentral describes it as "Borreliella bissettii partial 16S-23S ribosomal RNA intergenic spacer". The stretch from base 621 to 830 matches the Rfam family "Bacterial small subunit ribosomal RNA", at positions 925 to 1372 of the family's 1533-position model. Lineage: Bacteria; Pseudomonadati; Spirochaetota; Spirochaetia; Spirochaetales; Borreliaceae. The record is from RNAcentral.